This 433-nucleotide ribosomal RNA is filed under the name uncultured bacterium. RNAcentral's name for it is "partial 16S ribosomal RNA". It matches the Rfam family "Bacterial small subunit ribosomal RNA", at positions 29 to 507 of the family's 1533-position model. The record is from RNAcentral.
AACGAACGCUGGCGGCAUGCCUAACACAUGCAAGUCGAACGAGACCUUCGGGUCUAGUGGCGAACGGGUGCGUAACGCGUGGGAACCUGCCCUUAGGUUCGGAAUAACUCCCCGAAAGGGGUGCUAAUACCGGAUAAUGUCUUCGGACCAAAGAUUUAUCGCCUUGGGAUGGGCCCGCGUUGGAUUAGCUAGUUGGUAGGGUAAAAGCCUACCAAGGCGACGAUCCAUAGCUGGUCUGAGAGGAUGAUCAGCCACACUGGGACUGAGACACGGCCCAGACUCCUACGGGAGGCAGCAGUGGGGAAUAUUGGAGAAUGGGCGAAAGCCUGAUCCAGCAAUGCCGCGUGAGUGAUGAAGGCCUUAGGGUUGUAAAGCUCUUUUACCCGGGAUGAUAAUGACAGUACCGGGAGAAUAAGCUCCGGCUAACUCCGUG